GGGGAUGUGGCUCAGAGGUAGAGUGCUUGCCUAGCAUGCAUAAGGCCCUGGGUUUGAUCCCUAGCACCA
Molecule: transfer RNA, 69 nt
Filed under: Urocitellus parryii (Arctic ground squirrel)
Lineage: Eukaryota; Metazoa; Chordata; Mammalia; Rodentia; Sciuridae
Also listed under: 1 other name
Description: Spermophilus parryii (Arctic ground squirrel) tRNA
Rfam family: tRNA
About the family: Transfer RNA (tRNA) molecules are approximately 80 nucleotides in length. Their secondary structure includes four short double-helical elements and three loops (D, anti-codon, and T loops). Further hydrogen bonds mediate the characteristic L-shaped molecular structure. tRNAs have two regions of fundamental functional importance: the anti-codon, which is responsible for specific mRNA codon recognition, and the 3' end, to which the tRNAs corresponding amino acid is attached (by aminoacyl-tRNA synthetases). tRNAs cope with the degeneracy of the genetic code in two manners: having more than one tRNA (with a specific anti-codon) for a particular amino acid; and 'wobble' base-pairing, i.e. permitting non-standard base-pairing at the 3rd anti-codon position.
Source: Rfam by way of RNAcentral